Molecule: ribosomal RNA, 301 nt
Filed under: uncultured bacterium
Lineage: Bacteria
Description: partial 16S ribosomal RNA
Rfam family: Bacterial small subunit ribosomal RNA
Source: RNAcentral
CAGCCGCCGCGGUAAUACGGAGGGUGCAAGCGUUAAUCGGAAUUACUGGGCGUAAAGCGUGCGUAGGCGGUUUGUUAAGUCUGCUGUGAAAUCCCCGGGCUCAACCUGGGAAUGGCAGUGGAUACUGGCAAGCUAGAGUGUGUCAGAGGAUGGUGGAAUUCCCGGUGUAGCGGUGAAAUGCGUAGAGAUCGGGAGGAACAUCAGUGGCGAAGGCGGCCAUCUGGGACAACACUGACGCUGAGGCACGAAAGCGUGGGGAGCAAACAGGAUUAGAUACCCCUGUAGUCCCUGUCUCUUAUAC